Molecule: non-coding RNA, 196 nt
Organism: Oryza glaberrima (African rice)
Lineage: Eukaryota; Viridiplantae; Streptophyta; Magnoliopsida; Poales; Poaceae
Source: Rfam
CUUAAAUACAGUUGUGGGUUUCCGUGUCCUACGUUUGACCGUUCGUCUUAUGCGAAAUUUUUUUAUUAGUUGUAUUUUUAUUUGUUACUAGAUGAUAAAACAUUAAUAGUACUUUAUGCGUGAUUUAUUUUUUAAAAGAAAAUAAAUAAGAUGGAUGGUCAAACAUUGAGUACUAAAACACAUAAUUGCAAUUAAA